AUACCCGCUGAACUUAAGCAUAUCAAUAAGCGGAGGAAAAGAAACCAACAGGGAUUGCCCUAGUAACGGCGAGUGAAGCGGCAACAGCUCAAAUUUGAAAUCUGGCCUCGGCCCGAGUUGUAAUUUGCAGAGGAUGCUUCUGGCGCGGUGCCUUCCGAGUUCCCUGGAACGGGACGCCACAGAGGGUGAGAGCCCCGUAUGGUCGGACACCAAGCCUGUGUGAAGCUCCUUCGACGAGUCGAGUAGUUUGGGAAUGCUGCUCUAAAUGGGAGGUAAAUCUCUUCUAAAGCUAAAUACCGGCCAGAGACCGAUAGCGCACAAGUAGAGUGAUCGAAAGAUGAAAAGCACCUUGAAAAGGGGGUUAAAUAGUACGUGAAAUUGUUGAAAGGGAAGCACUUGUGACCAGACUUGGGCCGGGCGGCUCAUCAGGGGUUCUCCCCUGUGCACUCCGCCCGGCACAGGCCAGCAUCGGUUCUCGUGGGGGGAUAAGACCGUCAGGAACGUAGCACCCUCCGGGGUGUGUUAUAGCCUGGCGGACGAUACCCCCGUGGGGACCGAGGUUCGCGCUCCGCAAGGAUGCUGGCGUAAUGGUCACCAGUGACCCGUCUUGAAACACGGACCAAGGAGUCGUCCAUUAGAGCGAGCGUUUGGGUGUAAAACCCGCACGCGUAAUGAAAGUGAACGCAGGUGAGAGCUUCGGCGCAUCAUCGACCGAUCCUGAUGUUCUCGGAAGGAUUUGAGUAAGAGUUUUAACGGACGGACCCGAAAGACAGUGAACUAUGCUUGUAUAGGGUGAAGCCAGAGGAAACUCUGGUGGAGGCUCGCAGCGGUUCUGACGUGCAAAUCGAUCGUCAAAUAUGAGCAUGGGGGCGAAAGACUAAUCGAAC
This 887-nucleotide ribosomal RNA is filed under the name Diaporthe ceratozamiae. RNAcentral describes it as "eukaryotic LSU rRNA". It matches the Rfam family "Eukaryotic large subunit ribosomal RNA", at positions 21 to 940 of the family's 3401-position model. The record is from RNAcentral. Lineage: Eukaryota; Fungi; Ascomycota; Sordariomycetes; Diaporthales; Diaporthaceae.